This 374-nucleotide ribosomal RNA is filed under the name uncultured eukaryote. RNAcentral describes it as "partial 18S ribosomal RNA". It matches the Rfam family "Eukaryotic small subunit ribosomal RNA", at positions 592 to 976 of the family's 1831-position model. The record is from RNAcentral.
CAAUAGCGUAUAUUUAAGUUGUUGCAGUUAAAAAGCUCGUAGUUGGAUUUCUGCUGAUCGCUGUCGGUCUGCCGUCAGGUGUGUACUGGCAGUGUUUGGCAUCUAUUCGAGAUUGGGUGUCCACUUAAUUGUGUGCACUCGAUGUCGGAGCUAAUACUUUGAGAAAAUUAGAGUGUUCCACGCAGGCGCGUGCCUUGAAUACUGCAGCAUGGGAUAUUGGAAGGCCGAUUGAGCUUUCUUGUUGGUUCUCGGUUUGAUCGGAAUGAUUAAUAGGGAUAGUUGGGGGCAUUCGUAUUCAACUGUCAGAGGUGAAAUUCUUGGAUUUGUUGAAGACGGACUACUGCGAAAGCAUCUGCCAUGGAUGUUCUCAUUGA